UGACCUCGGAUCAGGUAGGGAUACCCGCUGAACUUAAGCAUAUCAAUAAGCGGAGGAAAAGAAACCAACAGGGAUUGCCCUAGUAACGGCGAGUGAAGCGGCAUCAGCUCAAAUUUGAAAUCUGGCUCUUUCAGGGUCCGAGUUGUAAUUUGCAGAGGGCGCUUUGGCGUUGGCAGCGGUCCAAGUUCCUUGGAACAGGACGUCACAGAGGGUGAGAAUCCCGUACGUGGUCGCUGGCCUUCGCCGUGUAAAGCCCCUUCGACGAGUCGAGUUGUUUGGGAAUGCAGCUCUAAAUGGGAGGUAAAUUUCUUCUAAAGCUAAAUACUGGCCAGAGACCGAUAGCGCACAAGUAGAGUGAUCGAAAGAUGAAAAGCACUUUGGAAAGAGAGUCAAAUAGCACGUGAAAUUGUUGAAAGGGAAGCGCUUGCAGCCAGACUUGCCUGUAGUUGCUCAUCCGGGCUUUUGCCCGGUGCACUCUUCUGCGGGCAGGCCAGCAUCAGUCUGGGCGGUUGGAUAAAGGCCUCUGUCAUGUACCUUCUCUCGGGAAGGCCUUAUAGGGGAGGCGUAAUGCAACCAGCCUGGACUGAGGUCCGCGCAUCUGCUAGGAUGCUGGCGUAAUGGCUGUAAGCGGCCCGUCUUGAAACACGGACCAAGGAGUCUAACAUCUAUGCGAGUGUUUGGGUGUCAAGCCCGAGCGCGUAAUGAAAGUGAACGGAGGUGGGAUCCCUUAAGGGUGCACCAUCGACCGAUCCUGAUGUCUUCGGAUGGAUUUGAGUAAGAGCAUGGCUGUUGGGACCCGAAAGAUGGUGAACUAUGCUUGAAUAGGGUGAAGCCAGAGGAAACUCUGGUGGAGGCUCGCAGCGGUUCUGACGUGCAAAUCGAUCGUCAAAUUUGGGCAUAGGGGCGAAAGACUAAUCGAACUAUCUAGUAGCUGGUUCCUGCCGAAGUUUCCCUCAGGA
RNAcentral lists this ribosomal RNA (959 nucleotides) under Neocucurbitaria quercina. Its description in RNAcentral is "partial 28S ribosomal RNA". It matches the Rfam family "Eukaryotic large subunit ribosomal RNA", at positions 1 to 978 of the family's 3401-position model. Lineage: Eukaryota; Fungi; Ascomycota; Dothideomycetes; Pleosporales; Cucurbitariaceae. The record is from RNAcentral.